Molecule: ribosomal RNA, 886 nt
Filed under: Escherichia coli
Lineage: Bacteria; Pseudomonadati; Pseudomonadota; Gammaproteobacteria; Enterobacterales; Enterobacteriaceae
Description: partial 23S ribosomal RNA
Rfam family: Bacterial large subunit ribosomal RNA
Source: RNAcentral
CCCAGAGCCUGAAUCAGUAUGUGUGUUAGUGGAAGCGUCUGGAAAGGCGCGCGAUACAGGGUGACAGCCCCGUACACAAAAAUGCACAUAUUGUGAGCUCGAUGAGUAGGGCGGGACACGUGGUAUCCUGUCUGAAUAUGGGGGGACCAUCCUCCAAGGCUAAAUACUCCUGACUGACCGAUAGUGAACCAGUACCGUGAGGGAAAGGCGAAAAGAACCCCGGCGAGGGGAGUGAAAAAGAACCUGAAACCGUGUACGUACAAGCAGUGGGAGCACGCUUAGGCGUGUGACUGCGUACCUUUUGUAUAAUGGGUCAGCGACUUAUAUUCUGUAGCAAGGUUAACCGAAUAGGGGAGCCGAAGGGAAACCGAGUCUUAACUGGGCGUUAAGUUGCAGGGUAUAGACCCGAAACCCGGUGAUCUAGCCAUGGGCAGGUUGAAGGUUGGGUAACACUAACUGGAGGACCGAACCGACUAAUGUUGAAAAAUUAGCGGAUGACUUGUGGCUGGGGGUGAAAGGCCAAUCAAACCGGGAGAUAGCUGGUUCUCCCCGAAAGCUAUUUAGGUAGCGCCUCGUGAAUUCAUCUCCGGGGGUAGAGCACUGUUUCGGCAAGGGGGUCAUCCCGACUUACCAACCCGAUGCAAACUGCGAAUACCGGAGAAUGUUAUCACGGGAGACACACGGCGGGUGCUAACGUCCGUCGUGAAGAGGGAAACAACCCAGACCGCCAGCUAAGGUCCCAAAGUCAUGGUUAAGUGGGAAACGAUGUGGGAAGGCCCAGACAGCCAGGAUGUUGGCUUAGAAGCAGCCAUCAUUUAAAGAAAGCGUAAUAGCUCACUGGUCGAGUCGGCCUGCGCGGAAGAUGUAACGGGGCUAAACCAUGCAC